CGGUUGUUAGUAAUUAUCGUCAAUAACGUUAGUUACUAGAUGAUUGUACUUCAUAACGUAGCCGUUCGCCGUGCCCACACCGAAUGGUUACGCUUUUUU
Molecule: regulatory RNA element, 99 nt
Rfam family: 23S methyl RNA motif
Source: Rfam